CGGCGUGGGGGCGGCGGGGAGCCUGUGUCCGGUGAGGCGUGGUGGUCCUCGAGCCUGGUCUUGCCGGCUCGGGCCUCGGUCUACUGGGUGGCAGGUUAAUCGGCGUGAGGGAUGAACGGCAAGGAACUUGGUGUGGACCGGGAAGGCUUCCUGGUGUGGCGGCCGUGGUGGUAUUGUGCAGGAGGGGAAACGAGACAGCCGGGCACACACGGAGAACCGCGUGACGGCAGGGCGGCUGUCUGCAGGCCCAGGAGAGGGCCUGGGACAGACGUCCUCACAGCCUCGGGAGCCAGGCUCCGACACUGGGAUCUCGGACUUCUGGCUUCCAGAACGUUGAGGUUCCCGGAACAGGCGCUAGAGGGGGCUGUAACCCAGGUCUGCUGGCAGGCUGUGGAGGAGCAGCCCAGCCAGUGCCAGAGGACGGGCUGCUGCCUCGGCGACUGCUCUCGGAGGCCCCGGGCCUGGCGGGCCGUGAACAGGCGGGAGCCCCCCCGCGGCAGGGCCCNNNNNNNNNNNNNNNNNNNNNNNNNNNNNNNNNNNNNNNGUAGCCACGAUAGCGUCGCGCCCGUCCCUGGACACGGCGACCACUGUCCACGGCUGGAUGGGUGUGAUAGCAAAAUGGAGCUGGCGGAAAGACUCGGGAAAUUCACAGAUAAGGCAGUAGAACCUGCUCAGUCUAAGCAACAGAGAGAGAACAGACUGAAGAGACACAGAGCCUCAGAUCGGCAGAACAGUCAUUUGAUCACCAGAGACCUGGAGCAAGAGGAGGGAGCCUGUGGGCUGCAAAGCGUUGCAAGGAGUAAUGGCUGA
Molecule: long non-coding RNA, 810 nt
Filed under: Ovis aries (sheep)
Lineage: Eukaryota; Metazoa; Chordata; Mammalia; Artiodactyla; Bovidae
Description: lncRNA (ENSOARG00000025919.1)
Source: RNAcentral